Molecule: long non-coding RNA, 489 nt
Organism: Micropterus dolomieu (smallmouth bass)
Lineage: Eukaryota; Metazoa; Chordata; Actinopteri; Centrarchiformes; Centrarchidae
Exons: 3
Source: RefSeq, a predicted model, not a curated record
GAGUGCCUCCAUAGUGUAUGAGAACUGAUUAAGACAACUGGCUACAUUUCUGAUCCUGCCUGUGGAUAAAUGCACUGGCCUUCUGAGGACUGGUGCACCCUUUGAGAUCAACAUCACCACCAAGGGCACAGCAGCUACUAUCGAAUGGAAGCUUGUGGAGGUGGAAUUCCCAGCCUGUGAUGAAGUUUGGGAUGCAAGCUGGAGAUUUUCUCUUGUCCACCCACAUUUUGUUGUGUGGCAACAACUACGCAAAGGUUGCCCCCUUGUUCAAAUUCAUGAACAUGGGGAUGGUGAACAGGAACACCUUCUUCUCCAUUCAGGACACUUCAAUACAAUAAACGACUUCUGGGAAGAGAGACGGACAGAGGUUCUUUGUCGCCUUCAAGAGAAAGAUGUUGUUGUCCUAGCGGAUGGCAGAAAUGACUCUCCUGGUCACUGUGCACAAUACUGCAGCUACACCACCAUGGAUAAUGACACCAAGGAGAUUAU